This 596-nucleotide ribosomal RNA is filed under the name Staphylococcus hominis. Its description in RNAcentral is "partial 23S ribosomal RNA". It matches the Rfam family "Bacterial large subunit ribosomal RNA", at positions 1622 to 2217 of the family's 2925-position model. The record is from RNAcentral. Lineage: Bacteria; Bacillati; Bacillota; Bacilli; Caryophanales; Staphylococcaceae.
UCUAGAUAGAGAUUAGGUGCCCGUACCGCAAACCGACACAGGUAGUCAAGAUGAGAAUUCUAAGGUGAGCGAGCGAACUCUCGUUAAGGAACUCGGCAAAAUGACCCCGUAACUUCGGGAGAAGGGGUGCUCUUUAGGGUGCAAGCCCAGAAGAGCCGCAGUGAAUAGGCCCAAGCGACUGUUUAUCAAAAACACAGGUCUCUGCUAAACCGUAAGGUGAUGUAUAGGGGCUGACGCCUGCCCGGUGCUGGAAGGUUAAGAGGAGUGGUUAGCUUCUGCGAAGCUACGAAUCGAAGCCCCAGUAAACGGCGGCCGUAACUAUAACGGUCCUAAGGUAGCGAAAUUCCUUGUCGGGUAAGUUCCGACCCGCACGAAAGGCGUAACGAUUUGGGCACUGUCUCAACGAGAGACUCGGUGAAAUCAUAGUACCUGUGAAGAUGCAGGUUACCCGCGACAGGACGGAAAGACCCCGUGGAGCUUUACUGUAGCCUGAUAUUGAAAUUCGGCACAGCUUGUACAGGAUAGGUAGGAGCCUUUGAAACGUGAGCGCUAGCUUACGUGGAGGCGUUGGUGGGAUACUACCCUAGCUGUGUUGG